AUGGACUGGGUGGAACAAUUUAACAUUUCUGACCUGAAAGGACCAAAGGAUCUGCCAACAUCUGGUCCACUGAGUUUCACCAGCAGACAGCUCCCUCGAGAUUACUACGAUUUUAAAUCAAUGAAGAUAAAGCUUAUCUGCAACUUCGGCGGCACUUUCUUACCAAGGCCAAGCGACGGCGAGCUCCGGUACAUCGGUGGUGACAGGCAUCUGAUGAAAGUUAGCCGGGACAUUUCUUGGCAAGAGUUGGUCAGCAAGACAACAAGGCUAAUAAGGAGAGCCCACACGAUAAAGUACCACCUCCCGGGGGAGCAACUGAGCAUGCUCAUCUCCAUCACCUCCGAUGAUGACCUCCGGCAUAUGAUUGAUGAGUGCAUUGUGCUAGAGGAAAACAGAGAAAUGAUCAACAUGUACCUCUUCUCUCGCAAGGACGAUGAGCGCCACGUGCGUUUCGUGGUACAAGGCUCAUCAGAUGCCGAGAAAGAGGCGCAGUUCAUCGCUCUUGUCAAUGGGAUCAUCACCACACCAGGUUAUGAGCCGAGAGCACACAGCGUCGGUAGAUCCUCAGCCAAUGACCUGGACCAGCUGAUGUUUGGCAUCAGUGUGGAAGCAGGGCCGCCGGCAGGCAGAACAGAGGAAGCUUCAGUGCUCAUCAAAAGCAAGCCCUUGCAGAGCAUCGCGGUACCGCCAGUGACGGCAAGUGGUCAGCUGGAGAGGACGCCCCCAAGUACCCAGAGACGGAUGAUCAACCAGUGUUAUAAGGCACAAGGUAACGAAGAGAUCAUGAUCUCUGCAGCCAGAAAGACUAGUAAAGCUUCCCCUGGUGCAUCUGCGCCUUCUGAAUCCACGGUGCAGCAUCAACAGACUGCCACAGACACUUACAGAACUACUGGGGCACAGGAAAAAAUAUCACCAAGGAAACAGCUUCAGAUACCAUUGGACAACAGUAGUGUGACGACGCAGCCAUCGAAUUCACUAAGGAGGAACACUAAUUUCCAACCGCACAACAGGGUGGAGAUAUCUGAACCUAGUCAUGAAUCCACUAGUCCUGGCGGCGGCAACAUCAGUGCAAACUUGCAGUAUCCCGAGAGGUCGGCUGCAACCAACAGCAUCCAGAAGAACCAGCCUGCAGGUCCUGCAACAUCGCUGCUUCCUUUUGCUUCUACACCUUUAGACAAAAGAAUAAACCUGCAACCAAAUACUCUUGUGCGUGCUUCAAGUGAUACAAUACAAGAACGACCCAGCAGUCCAACAACAGAUGAGCAUGCAUCAGAAAUCACUCGAUUUCGCUCGGUUGGCACUGGCAUCAUUAAUCCUCAAAUCAGAGCUCCAUUGCAUGAAGCUGAAGAUAAUGCUGCACCAUCAAUCCCAGAGGCUGAGCUACGCGAAACCAAGAGCAGUGAAAAAUCUCUGCCUGCAAAUGCAGUGUUGGGCAGAGAUCUUAUGAGUAAUGUCCAGGACAUCUUCCUAAAGUUGAUGUCAUACAAAUGGCAGAUAAUAAGCAACGAUGACCUCGAAGAUCUUCGUGAGAUGGGCGCCGGAGCAUUUGGAACUGUUUUUCAUGGAAAAUGGAGGGGAACAGAUGUUGCCAUUAAACGGAUAAAUAACAGUUGUUUUUCAUACCAAUCAUCCCAGGCAGAUAAACUGAUAACAGAAUUUUGGAGGGAGGCCGCUAUCAUCUCAAAACUUCACCAUCCAAAUAUUCUGGCACUUUACGGGGUUGUGAAUAAUGGGCCAGGGGGGACAUUAGCUACUGUAACUGAAUUCAUGGUCAAUGGAUCUCUAAAGAAAGUACUCAGUCGCAAGGACAAAUAUCUCGAUUGGCGCAAGAGGGUACUUGUUGCAAUGGAUGCCGCCAUUGGAAUGGAAUAUCUGCACUCCAAGGACAUUGUCCAUUUUGAUCUGAAAUGCGAUAACUUGCUAGUGAAUGUUAAGGAUCCCUCUCGUCCCAUAUGCAAGGUUGCUGAUUUUGGUUUAUCAAAGAUGAAACAAGCCACCAUGGUUUCUGGUGGAAUGAGAGGAACUCUUCCAUGGAUGGCCCCAGAAUUGUUGACAAUGAGCGGCACCAAAGUAUCUGAAAAGGUCGAUGUCUAUUCUUUUGGUGUUGUGAUGUGGGAAAUUCUCACUGGUGAGGAUCCAUAUGAUGGCAUGCACUAUGGAGGAGUUAUAGGGGGCAUUUUGAGUGACACACUGAGGCCGCCAGUGCCCACUUCAUGUAACCCGGAAUGGAGGAAACUCAUGGAGCAAUGCUGGUUAACUGAGCCUGAGCGAAGACCUUCGUUCACUGAAGUCGCAACUUGUCUUCGUUGUAUGCUGCAAGCGCAAAAAUGA
RNAcentral lists this ribosomal RNA (2331 nucleotides) under Triticum aestivum (bread wheat). RNAcentral's name for it is "partial small subunit ribosomal RNA". The record is from RNAcentral. Lineage: Eukaryota; Viridiplantae; Streptophyta; Magnoliopsida; Poales; Poaceae.